Molecule: long non-coding RNA, 356 nt
Organism: Cyprinus carpio (common carp)
Lineage: Eukaryota; Metazoa; Chordata; Actinopteri; Cypriniformes; Cyprinidae
Source: Ensembl
UCAUCUGGAAUGAAUCAUCUCUCUCUAACGGCAUUCAGUAAACAGAGCAGAUGAGUGGAGAUGUUGUCCUUUAACUGGUAAGAUAAUGAAGUACUGUGGGAUCUGACUUCCGGGCCGGCCAGGGCAGGUUGGAGUAAGUUCGGCCCAGCGCAGGGAGCUGCAGUGUGGGGCAGGGCGCCAUGGCAGGUGCCUGUGUCAGCAGUACUGCCGGCCAAGGGGAGAGGUCAAUCUCACACCUCCAGCAGCUGUCAGGUAUUGAGAGGAGAAGGGGGGGCUGCCCGCUGUUGCGCCGCCGUUCGCCACGACACACGCCCACCUCCGAGUCACAUCUGGUGCGGGAGCGAGCGCUCCGAUAA